RNAcentral lists this ribosomal RNA (679 nucleotides) under Nemalionopsis shawii. RNAcentral describes it as "SSU rRNA". It matches the Rfam family "Eukaryotic small subunit ribosomal RNA", at positions 591 to 1279 of the family's 1831-position model. The record is from RNAcentral. Lineage: Eukaryota; Rhodophyta; Florideophyceae; Thoreales; Thoreaceae.
CUGUAAGCGUAUACCAAAGUUGUUGCAGUUAAAACGCUCGUAGUCGGAUUUUGGCGCGGCCCGCGCUGUGCGCGUAGUGCGUGUGGCGAUGGGACGUGCUUUUGUGGAUGGCGGCACGUGGUGGCUUCAUUGUCGCUGCGUGUCGGCGCCACCGUUUACUGUGAAAAAAUUAGAGUGUUCAAAGCAGGCGUUUGCCGUGAAUACAUUAGCAUGGAAUAAUAGAAUAGGACUUGGUUUCUAUUUUGUUGGUUUGUGAGAGCCGAGUAAUGAUUAAGAGGGACGGUUGGGGGCAUUUGUAUUCCGGCGUCAGAGGUGAAAUUCUUGGAUUGCCGGAAGACAAACCGCUGCGAAAGCGUCUGCCAAGGACGUUUUCAUUGAUCAAGAACGAAAGUAAGGGGAUCGAAGACGAUCAGAUACCGUCGUAGUCUUUACUAUAAACGAUGAGAACUGGGGAUCGGGCGGGCAUUACGAUGACUCGUCCGGAACCCUCCGGGAAACCAAAGUGUUUGCUUUCUGGGGGGAGUAUGGUCGCAAGGCUGAAACUUAAAGGAAUUGACGGAAGGGCAUCACCGGGUGUGGAGCCUGCGGCUUAAUUUGACUCAACACGGGAAAACUUACCAGGUCCGGACAUAGUGAGGAUUGACAGAUUGAGAGCUCUUUCUUGAUUCUAUGGUUGGUG